UUACUAGAAUGGGGCUUACUAUGGGGCAGGUACCCAUAGGGGUGGCUUCCUGGCCCAGCAAUUCCCUCUCCUAGCCAUCACAGGCAGAGGCAGGCUGGGUCUGGAUUUCCCUUUCCAGUGAGUUUGGGAUCCAGGUUCAUGGAGCCUGGGACUUGCAUGGAGCCCCCGCCAGGCAGGUGCCCUGAGAGAAGGGCAGGAACUUCUCGCUUCGCUGAUCCACCCAGAGCCUCCGUGUUUCCUGCUUCCUUCAGGCAGGUGUUAGGGGGAGCCCUACCUUCCACCCAGGAUGCCCAGAUCGGGAGGAUCCAGGUCGGGAAGGUCUGGAGGACAUUUGGACACAGACACAGGCCAUGUGAGCAUGAAGGCAGAGACUGGGAGAUGCAUCUAGAAGCCAAGGAACGUGGAAGAUGGCCAGCAAACUGCCAGACACAGAGGGAGAGGCCUGGAGCAGUCUCCCUUAUAGCCCCAGGAGGAACCAACCCUGCUUGCACGUUGCUGUUGGACUUCUGGCCUCCAGAACUGGGAGACAACACGUUUUGGUGGCUUAAGCCACCAACGAUAUUCAUGCAGCCCCUGUGGAGGUCAAGGGAUUUGUUCCAGAGCUCUGGGCAAGUCACUUUGCUUUUUGAGGCUUCCUAGCCUGUAAAGUGGGGAGUGGCAGCUGUCUGCAGCUGUCAUGAUCAAAUGAGAUAAAGAAGUCUGAAGAGAGGGGAAGGGCAGGAAUUGGAGGCGGAGACGCUGACCUCCAUUUCUGCCCUGCUUCUGCCACUCCCUAGCUCAUGGCCACUUGCCCGCUACUUAAUAAUAGUAUUUACCUCCCAGGAUGGUUUGGGACCAGCGGCGUUAUUUGAUAGAAAUCACCUGGAGAGCAGCAGCGCUCCCCAGAGUUUUGCAGUUCUUGUUCAUGACAGAGCCCAGCGGAGGGUCCAAGCGUGAGGGAGGAAUGUCAAGGGCAGUGUGGCGGGCACAGGAGCUGGAGGGAGCUUGGGGUUUGGUGGUUGACCUUUGACCUUCUCCAACAGAGAUGCAAAUGUUACAGAUGGGGUCUGGGGACAGCCAAGCGGGGACAGGUGGACUGGAGUUGAGUGUGCUCUGGUUUGGAAGUGAGACCUUGACUUGUGGUGGCCUCACCCUGUUUGGGUGACAUCUCUGUUCAGAGCUAAGCCCCAGGGACACACGACAAGGAAGACAGAUGGGGGUGGUGGCAGUUGGGAGCCUCGGCGAGAUUCUAUCUGGUGCUGGGCUGGAGCCGGGGAAUGGGACCUUCUUCUGACAGCUCACUGGCUGCUUCCGAUGGAAAAGAAGCUGAUCUGGGCUUGGCCUGUCCUUGAAAGAUGGAACUGUCCAUAAGUUGGGGGUCUACGGUGUGUCCGGUCUGGGGACAGAGAUGGGACCCCCCAGAGACACCGAAUGCAGGAUUCUUUCGACAUCUCCAAGAGGUGCUGCUGUCAUGACCCCCGUGUGCCCGGGAGGAAAGAGAAGCUGGUGGACUUGGGGGACCACCCGAGUCUUGUGGGAACAGCGGUGCGCUGACCACCCAUCUGAGGGCUAGGUGCAGACUGGCCUAAGGCGGGGGGAGGCUCCAGGAUGACGGUCACUUGUCAUUUCUCCGUCGGAGGCUCGGGGCUUGCGGCCUCUGCUUCACAGCCGCUGCCACAAGCAGGACGCUUCAGAGGCCCAGGCCCUACCUCUGCGCCCACCUGCCACUUUCAAAAGAAAUCUAGAGUGAAAGGAAGAGAGUUUCUAUUUUUGAUGAGACACCAGUGAAAUGGAGGCUUUUUAAAUAAUUAAAAUCCAGAAUACAUUAUUUAUUCAGGUCA
This is a long non-coding RNA of Pan troglodytes (chimpanzee), 1820 nucleotides long. RefSeq lists it as uncharacterized. NCBI's taxonomy places the organism in Eukaryota, Metazoa, Chordata, Mammalia, Primates, Hominidae. The transcript is spliced from 4 exons. The record is from RefSeq and is a predicted model, not a curated record.